CUACUGGCCGCAGCAGUGAGGAAUCUUGCGCAAUGGGGGCAACCCUGACGCAGCAACGCCGCGUGAGUGAAGAAGGCCUUCGGGUCGUAAAGCUCUGUCAGAUGGGAAGAAAGUUUCAUCGAUAAACAAUCGAUGGAAUUGACGGUACCGUCAAAGGAAGCACCGGCUAACUCCGUGCCAGCAGCCGCGGUAAUACGGAGGGUGCAAGCGUUGUUCGGAAUUACUGGGCGUAAAGCGCGUGUAGGCGGUUGGGUAAGUCAGAUGUGAAGUCCCUUGGCUCAACCAAGGAAGGGCAUUUGAAACUGCCCGGCUUGAGUACGGGAGGGGGAAGCGGAAUUCCCGGUGUAGAGGUGAAAUUCGUAGAUAUCGGGAGGAACACCAGUGGCGAAGGCGGCUUCCUGGACCGAUACUGACGCUGAGACGCGAAAGCGUGGGGAGCAAACAGGAUUAGAUACCCGCGUAGUC
Molecule: ribosomal RNA, 465 nt
Filed under: uncultured bacterium
Lineage: Bacteria
Description: partial 16S ribosomal RNA
Rfam family: Bacterial small subunit ribosomal RNA
Source: RNAcentral